GAAAUGGAUUUUUUGAAAUCCAUCCCAUUUCCCUAGUAAAGUGUUU
Rattus norvegicus (Norway rat) is the source of this 46-nucleotide non-coding RNA. Lineage: Eukaryota; Metazoa; Chordata; Mammalia; Rodentia; Muridae. The record is from Rfam.